Molecule: unclassified non-coding RNA, 222 nt
Filed under: Hevea brasiliensis (rubber tree)
Lineage: Eukaryota; Viridiplantae; Streptophyta; Magnoliopsida; Malpighiales; Euphorbiaceae
Source: RNAcentral
GUCAGCUUAUGAAACCAUAUCAAUAUCUUAUGACUCGAGAACAUGGGAACAUAUCUCAAGUCAUACUGGCCCUAAAUUGAUAUGGAUCAUAUAGCAGAGCAAAAACAAUGAGUCUAGCAUUGAACACUGCAAUUAAAUGAAACUAGUAGGCCCAACAGACAGAAUAGUAUAGUAUGGUUCAAGAUAAAACAUCAACCCAACACAAAUCACCAAGCUGAUAGU